RNAcentral lists this long non-coding RNA (431 nucleotides) under Amphimedon queenslandica. Its description in RNAcentral is "uncharacterized LOC109590179, transcript variant X3". The record is from RNAcentral. Lineage: Eukaryota; Metazoa; Porifera; Demospongiae; Haplosclerida; Niphatidae.
UAUAUGAUGCUAUUGUAAUUCAUCCUUGUGAGCCAGGAGUAACUGAAUGGAUUAAUGUCUACAACCUAAAAUGGUGCGUCUUGUAGUGACGGACCAGUUCCUGAUCUUUGUUGGACGGGACAGGGUCACCACUCCCUUGUAUUUUGGGAUUUGUGUAUUUUAAUGGGAUUUAUGGAUAUUUACUGUAAAGUACAAUGAUGGACCAGUUCCUGCUUUUGUUGGACGGGGCGGAGUUGCCACUCCCUUGUACAUGUAUAUCAGGAUUUGUGUAUUUUAAAGUCAUUUAUUGAUAUUUACGGUGCGUCUUGUAGUGAUAGACCAGUUCCUGCUUUUGUUGGACGGGGCGGAGUCGCCACUCCCUUGUACAUGUAUAUCGGGAUUUGUGUAUUUUAAAGUCAUUUAUUGAUAUUUACGGUGCGUCUUGUAGUGAU